GAUGAACGCUGGCGGCGCGCCUAACACAUGCAAGUCGAACGGCACCCCUCUCCGGAGGGAAGCGAGUGGCGAACGGCUGAGUAACACGUGGAGAACCUGCCCCCUCCCCCGGGAUAGCCGCCCGAAAGGACGGGUAAUACCGGAUACCCCCGGGCGCCGCAUGGCGCCCGGGCUAAAGCCCCGACGGGAGGGGAUGGCUCCGCGGCCCAUCAGGUAGACGGCGGGGUGACGGCCCACCGUGCCGACAACGGGUAGCCGGGUUGAGAGACCGACCGGCCAGAUUGGGACUGAGACACGGCCCAGACUCCUACGGGAGGCAGCAGUGGGGAAUCUUGCGCAAUGGGGGGAACCCUGACGCAGCGACGCCGCGUGCGGGACGGAGGCCUUCGGGUCGUAAACCGCUUUCAGCAGGGAAGAGUCAAGACUGUACC
RNAcentral lists this ribosomal RNA (431 nucleotides) under uncultured bacterium. Its description in RNAcentral is "bacterial SSU rRNA". It matches the Rfam family "Bacterial small subunit ribosomal RNA", at positions 28 to 479 of the family's 1533-position model. The record is from RNAcentral.